This is a long non-coding RNA of Orbicella faveolata, 395 nucleotides long. Lineage: Eukaryota; Metazoa; Cnidaria; Anthozoa; Scleractinia; Merulinidae. The record is from RefSeq and is a predicted model, not a curated record.
CCCCUGCAUGAUUUUUUUUGUUUUGUUUUUUCCCCACUCCCACCCUCCAUCACUUUUCUAAUGGUCUGUCCCUUAUUAAAGCCACAUUGAACUCAAGCUUACGCUUUGUCCACAGGAGAAGGAGGAGGAGGAGGACCUAACCCACCUCCAUCCCCACAGACGCCACAGCCACCUACGCAAACUCCACCGCCUGAUUGUAAAGACGAUUGGAUUGCAUGCAGCAGUAUUAAAGAUUAUUGCUCGUUUCCGUCAUUCAAGUAUCGUUUUUGCAAAAAGACAUGUGGCGGUUGUUAAAUCAGGAUUACCAAAUCCAAGCAAAGCUCCGACUCCGCUGAUUCAUCAUGAUUUGACUGUAUUUCAUUUCGGUAGAUUUAAUAAAGAAAAUACUUAACUUG